This 564-nucleotide ribosomal RNA is filed under the name Triticum aestivum (bread wheat). RNAcentral describes it as "partial small subunit ribosomal RNA". Lineage: Eukaryota; Viridiplantae; Streptophyta; Magnoliopsida; Poales; Poaceae. The record is from RNAcentral.
AUGAAAGAUUGCAAUCCAAGUCAUGUUCCGAUGAAGCCUCGUCUCAGACUAAGCAAGAAGAGUGAAGCACCCGCGGUUGAUGCAACGGAGUAUAGAAGUGUGGUCCGAAAGUUGAGGUAUCUCACGAAUACAAGACCGGACUUGGCCUAUUCCGUUGGCAUAGUGAGUCGCUUCAUGGAAGCACCCACGACGGAGCAUUGGGCAGCGGUGGAAAAUAUACUCAGGUACAUCAAAGGGACAACAAAUUUCGGUUGUGUCUACUUGAGAAAGAAGAAGAAGGAGAUGGUGGAGCUACUUGGCUACAGUGAUAGCGACAUGGCAGGAGAUGUGGACGACCGUAAAAGUACCUCGGGCGUGGCAUAUUUUUUGGGAGGAAGCAUAGUGAGUUGGCUGUCACAAAAGCAGAAGGUGGUCGCAUUAUCAUCUCGUGAAGCAGAGUAUAUUGCAGCUGCAACCGCGGUGUGUCAAGGUGUGUGCCUUGGAAGGCUACUCGGUGACCUCACAGGUAAGGAACCGGAAGGAGUGGUGUUCAAUAUUGAUGACGUGUCUACAAUCUCUCUAUGA